GCCCUGGCAGUCAGAGGCGAUGAAGGGCGUGCUAAUCUGCGAUAAGCGCCGGUAAGGUGAUAUGAACCGUUAUAACCGGCGAUACCCGAAUGGGGAAACCCAGUGUGACUCGUCACACUAUCAUUAACUGAAUCCAUAGGUUAAUGAGGCGAACCGGGGGAACUGAAACAUCUAAGUACCCCGAGGAAAAGAAAUCAACCGAGAUUCCCCCAGUAGCGGCGAGCGAACGGGGAGGAGCCCAGAGCCUGAAUCAGCAUGUGUGUUAGUGGAAGCGUCUGGAAAGGCGCGCGAUACAGGGUGACAGCCCCGUACACAAAAGCGCAUGUGCUGUGAGCUCGAUGAGUAGGGCGGGACACGUGGUAUCCUGUCUGAAUAUGGGGGGACCAUCCUCCAAGGCUAAAUACUCCUGACUGACCGAUAGUGAACCAGUACCGUGAGGGAAAGGCGAAAAGAACCCCGGCGAGGGGAGUGAAAAAGAACCUGAAACCGUGUACGUACAAGCAGUGGGAGCACCCUUUGGG
This 521-nucleotide ribosomal RNA is filed under the name Salmonella enterica. RNAcentral's name for it is "partial 23S ribosomal RNA". It matches the Rfam family "Bacterial large subunit ribosomal RNA", at positions 30 to 590 of the family's 2925-position model. The record is from RNAcentral. Lineage: Bacteria; Pseudomonadati; Pseudomonadota; Gammaproteobacteria; Enterobacterales; Enterobacteriaceae. RNAcentral also lists the same sequence under 1 other name.